CCUGAUGCAGCAACGCCGCGUGAGGGACGACGGCCUUCGGGUUGUAAACCUCUUUUAGCAAGGAAGAAGCGAAAGUGACGGUACUUGCAGAAAAAGCGCCGGCUAACUACGUGCCAGCAGCCGCGGUAAUACGUAGGGCGCAAGCGUUAUCCGGAAUUAUUGGGCGUAAAGAGCUCGUAGGCGGUUUGUCGCGUCUGCUGUGAAAUCCCGAGGCUCAACCUCGGGCCUGCAGUGGGUACGGGCAGACUAGAGUGCGGUAGGGGAGAUUGGAAUUCCUGGUGUAGCGGUGGAAUGCGCAGAUAUCAGGAGGAACACCGAUGGCGAAGGCAGAUCUCUGGGCCGUAACUGACGCUGAGGAGCGAAAGGGUGGGGAGCAAACAGGCUUAGAUACCCUGGUAGUCCACCCCGUAAACGUUGGGAACUAGUUGUGGGGACCAUUCCACGGUCUCCGUGACGCAGCUAACGCAUUAAGUUCCCCGCCUGGGGAGUACGGCCGCAAGGCUAAAACUCAAAGGAAUUGACGGGGACCCGCACAAGCGGCGGAGCAUGCGGAUUAAUUCGAUGCAACGCGAAGAACCUUACCAAGGCUUGACAUAUACGAGAACGCCGUAGAAAUACGGAACUCUUUGGACACUC
RNAcentral lists this ribosomal RNA (636 nucleotides) under Microbacterium sp. Ri1Pw_5600. RNAcentral describes it as "bacterial SSU rRNA". It matches the Rfam family "Bacterial small subunit ribosomal RNA", at positions 382 to 1029 of the family's 1533-position model. Lineage: Bacteria; Bacillati; Actinomycetota; Actinomycetes; Micrococcales; Microbacteriaceae. The record is from RNAcentral.